AGAUUUCACUACUCCCACCAGCUUGGAGACAACAUGUGGUUCUUGACAACUCUGCUCCUUUGGGGCUGGCUACUACUGCAGGUCUCCAGCAGAGUCUUCAUGGAAGGAGAACCUCUGGCCUUGAGGUGUCAUGCGUGGAAGGAUAAGCUGGUGUACAAUGUGCUUUACUAUCGAAAUGGCAAAGCCUUUAAGUUUUUCCACUGGAAUUCUAACCUCACCAUUCUGAAAACCAACAUAAGUCACAAUGGCACCUACCAUUGCUCAGGCAUGGGAAAGCAUCGCUACACAUCAGCAGGAAUAUCACAAUACACUGUGAAAGAGCUAUUUCCAGCUCCAGUGCUGAAUGCAUCUGUGACAUCCCCACUCCUGGAGGGGAAUCUGGUCACCCUGAGCUGUGAAACAAAGUUGCUCUUGCAGAGGCCUGGUUUGUAGCUUUACUUCUCCUUCUACAUGGGCAGCAAGACCCUGCGAGGCAGGAACACAUCCUCUGAAUACCAAAUACUAACUGCUAGAAGAGAAGACUCUGGGUUAUACUGGUGCGAGGCUGCCACAGAGGAUGGAAAUGUCCUUAAGCACAGCCCUGAGUUGGAGCUUCAAGUGCUUGGUGAGAAUGACGGGAAGCCACUGGCACAGAAGAAGGGACUCCCUUAUCUCCCAUGGGACUGAGGCCUCCAGUUACCAACUCCUGUCUGGUUUCAUGUCCUUUUCUAUCUGGCAGUGGGAAUAAUGUUUUUAGUGAACACUGUUCUCUGGGUGACAAUACGUAAAGAACUGAAAA
This is a long non-coding RNA of Homo sapiens (human), 778 nucleotides long. Ensembl annotates it as Fc gamma receptor Ib, pseudogene. Its record names the gene FCGR1BP. Lineage: Eukaryota; Metazoa; Chordata; Mammalia; Primates; Hominidae. The record is from Ensembl.